AACGCAUAUUGCGCCUGAGGCCUCGGCCGAGGGCAUGUCUGCCUCAGCGUCGGUGUAACCCCAUCACUCUGAAUACUGAGUGGACCUGGCAGUCCCUUUCCGGGUCUGCCGAAUUGCAGCAGUUGCCAUCAGGACCCGCCUUUGGCGUGGCCAUUCAGUUUGGUAGGUAACCCCUGGUUGCAUGCCACUGUUGGCCAUCGUGGUCUGUUGUAGCACACUGGCAGGAAAGCAAGGGCACGAGCCCUUCUCAUUUCGACCUGAGGUCAGGCAAGAUUACCCGCUGAACUUAA
RNAcentral lists this unclassified non-coding RNA (290 nucleotides) under uncultured fungus. RNAcentral's name for it is "partial contains 5.8S ribosomal RNA, internal transcribed spacer 2, and large subunit ribosomal RNA". Lineage: Eukaryota; Fungi. The record is from RNAcentral.